This 791-nucleotide ribosomal RNA is filed under the name uncultured archaeon. Its description in RNAcentral is "bacterial SSU rRNA". It matches the Rfam family "Archaeal small subunit ribosomal RNA", at positions 85 to 879 of the family's 1478-position model. The record is from RNAcentral.
ACGGCUCAGUAACACGUGGAUAACCUGCCCAAGGGUCUGGGAUAACCCCGGGAAACUGGGGAUAAUACCGGAUGGAUCACUAGUGCUGGAAUGCUUGGUGGUCGAAAGGCAACGCCUUUGGAUGGGUCUGCGGCGGAUUAGGUUGACGCCGGUGUAACGUACCGGCGUGCCUGUAAUCCGUACGGGUUGUGGGAGCAAGAGCCCGGAGAUGGAUUCUGAGACACGAAUCCAGGCCCUACGGGGCGCAGCAGGCGCGAAAACUCUACAAUGCAGGCAACUGCGAUAGGGGGACAUCGAGUGGCAUCCACCUUGGGUGCCUGUCCAACCGUCUAAAAAACGGUUGUUAGCAAGGGCCGGGUAAGACCGGUGCCAGCCGCCGCGGUAAUACCGGCGGCUCGAGUGGUGGCCGAUAUUAUUGAGUCUAAAGGGUCCGUAGCCGGCUUUGCAAGUCCCCUGGGAAAUCCAGCGGCUUAACCGUUGGGCUUUCAUGGGAUACUACAUUGCUUGGGACUGGGAGAGGUAGGAGGUACUCGGGGGGUAGGGGUGAAAUCCUGUAAUCCUCCGGGGACCACCGGUGGCGAAGGCGUCCUACCAGAACAGGUCCGACGGUGAGGGACGAAAGCUAGGGGCACGAACCGGAUUAGAUACCCGGGAAGUCCUAGCCGUAAACGAUGCCCGCUAGGUGUCACGACGGUCGUGAAUCGUCGUGGUGCCGUAGGGAAGCCGCGAAGCGGGCCACUUGGGAAGUACGGCCGCAAGGCUGAAACUUAAAGGAAUUGGCGGGGGAGCAC